CCGGCACGGGUGAGUAACACGUAUCCAACCUGCCGUCUACUCUUGGACAGCCUUCUGAAAGGAAGAUUAAUACAAGAUGGCAUCAUGAGUUCACAUGUUCACAUGAUUAAAGGUAUUCCGGUAGACGAUGGGGAUGCGUUCCAUUAGAUAGUAGGCGGGGUAACGGCCCACCUAGUCUUCGAUGGAUAGGGGUCCUGAGAGGAAGGUCCCCCACAUUGGAACUGAGACACGGUCCAA
RNAcentral lists this ribosomal RNA (237 nucleotides) under uncultured bacterium. RNAcentral describes it as "partial 16S ribosomal RNA". It matches the Rfam family "Bacterial small subunit ribosomal RNA", at positions 100 to 334 of the family's 1533-position model. The record is from RNAcentral.